GGUAUGAGGGAUUAAGGAUCGCGGCGGCGGUGAGAACAGGGAAGAGGGAGCCCUAGGUAGGUUGGGUGGAGAGAAAAAGACAUACGUUGGUUGGUCGCGGCGAGCGGUCAGGGGAGCGCGGGUUCUGGAGUAGCGCGGCUGCUGGUACCGGUCCGGUAGCGGGAGUGGACGCGGGAAGAAGAAAAAAGGACGGAAGAGGAGGGAGGAGACGAGAUUAGGGGGGAGAGAGAGGAAGAGAACGAAGGUGUUCUUGGGUUUCCUCGAGACGGGGCUGCGGUACCUGUUCUCAGCAGCAAGAGAUCAAGGCUGGAGCACGCUCGAACGGUUCGGGGUUCGGCGCGGCCUAGACCUCCCCUAGUGGCGGCGGCGCGGAAAAAGGGCUGGGGGUGCUGGAAGAGGCCGGGGCAAGGGUAGCUAUAGGGCGGCAACGACGAGGAGACGAAGGCGACGCAGCUUACCGUCGUCAGGUCUAUCUCCUGCGGCGGAGAUGGAGCUGGCGAGGAGAGGAGGGGCUCUAGGAGUAGCCGCAGCUCUCCGAGGUCGACCUGGGGCGUCCGGCGCGGGAGGUAGAGCAGAGGUGCCAGCCAGGAGGGGUUCAGGAGCAGCGACCGGAGACGAAGACGCACACCCUUGCUGCUGCCGGUUGCUGUUCAGUGGGGCGGGGCGCAACUGGUCAGGUCGCGGUCGGACCUGCUCACGGUGAGCGGCGCGCUCCGGAGGAGACGAAGCGAGCGUCGGGUCUACGGGUCGAGGUGGAGUAGGGCAGCUGGGGAUCUAGGUGGCUCGUCGCGGUCAAGCGCGUUCCGGGUCGCGAGCCGGAGGGCCGGGUCAUAGCGGGGACGGCCGGAGAAGAGACGUUGUCGCCCGGCUUCGGGUACCCAACCAAGGCCAUUGCAGCGCAAACACUCCUAGGCAAGCUGAAGCAGGCAAAAAGAAGAAGUACCUGAGCAAGAAGAAGGAACGCCCUAGAGUCGACCGUCCACAGCUACUCAGGCACGUCUACUGCGUUGGUUCGAGUUCUCCUCGAGCUACUUCUAGAACAGGAAAUACAACUAAGCAAGAUCAACUAGUCAUCACCUCGGGUCAACCCCAGCUAGCCCCCUGGAAACAGCGUAAACCCCAAGAAGAAAAUAAAACCAAGGCAUCAGCCUGGAACUAACAUAGACCUACUACAUUACGAAAUAAGUACAUUAACACACUUUAUCGCUAACAUUCGGUUGAUACAUAGAGAAAGGGAAUACAUAAUGUACCCAACACACUUCUAAUGGAGAGAACGCUGUAACGAAAGUUACGCCAAUACGGAGAUUCGGCACGAAGCUGUGCACCCUCUAUAUCGGCGUAGCUCCCGCAAUGU
This 1354-nucleotide ribosomal RNA is filed under the name Triticum aestivum (bread wheat). RNAcentral's name for it is "partial small subunit ribosomal RNA". Lineage: Eukaryota; Viridiplantae; Streptophyta; Magnoliopsida; Poales; Poaceae. The record is from RNAcentral.